RNAcentral lists this ribosomal RNA (429 nucleotides) under uncultured bacterium. Its description in RNAcentral is "bacterial SSU rRNA". It matches the Rfam family "Bacterial small subunit ribosomal RNA", at positions 355 to 775 of the family's 1533-position model. The record is from RNAcentral.
UGGGGAAUUGUUCGCAAUGGGCGCAAGCCUGACGACGCAACGCCGCGUGGAGGAUGAAGGUCUUCGGAUUGUAAACUCCUGUUGACCGGGAAGAAUUUCUCCGGGGUAAAUAUCCCCGGGGGGUGACGGUACCGGUUGAGGAAGCCCCGGCUAACUCUGUGCCAGCAGCCGCGGUAAUACAGAGGGGGCAAGCGUUGUUCGGAAUUACUGGGCGUAAAGGGCGCGUAGGCGGCCAACUAAGUCAGACGUGAAAUCCCACGGCUCAACCGUGGAACUGCGUCUGAUACUGGAUGGCUUGAAUCCGGGAGAGGGAUGUGGAAUUCCAGGUGUAGCGGUGAAAUGCGUAGAUAUCUGGAGGAACACCGGUGGCGAAGGCGGCAUCCUGGACCGGUAUUGACGCUGAGGCGCGAAAGCCAGGGGAGCAAACGG